Molecule: ribosomal RNA, 221 nt
Filed under: uncultured Piloderma
Lineage: Eukaryota; Fungi; Basidiomycota; Agaricomycetes; Atheliales; Atheliaceae
Description: partial 28S ribosomal RNA
Rfam family: Eukaryotic large subunit ribosomal RNA
Source: RNAcentral
UUGACCUCAAAUCAGGUAGGACUACCCGCUGAACUUAAGCAUAUCAAUAAGCGGAGGAAAAGAAACUAACAAGGAUUCCCCUAGUAACUGCGAGUGAAGCGGGAAAAGCUCAAAUUUAAAUCUGGCGGUCUUGCGGCCGUCCGAGUUGUAAUCUGGAGAAGCGUUUAUCCGCGUCGGACCGUGUACAAGUCUCUGGAAGGGAGCGUCGUAGAGGGUGAGAA